CAUAUAUCAUACAGGCGGGCUUUUUUAACAUCCGGCGCGAAGGGGUUAAACCCUUACACCUUCCUUUUUCUUUCUCCCUAAAUCUGGGUGUAAUUGAGCCUAUUUUGCCACACUUGAUAGAAUGGUAGCCUGCAAACAACAUUGAAGCCUUUCAUCACCUGAAAUUCAUGUUUUUUGCUUUCUGACCAAAAUUAUGAUGACUGUCCUCCAAUUAGCUAAAAACAUUAAGUAAGAAUCUUUCUUGUGUCUAGCUUUGAUCUUUGUAAAAUUUCUUUUUUAGGGCAGAGUAAACUUAUUAUUAUUCAGUGCUUCAAAAACUCAAUUUCCCUUUUUGUUUGUUCAACACUUCCUUCAAACAAACUCCCCCUUUCAUUUACAUUCAACUGUUCUCUCUUAUGCACUUGACAUCUUCAGUUUGUCCUCUACAGAAAGUGAAAAUCUUUCCUCUUGUUUCUGACUUAUGGAUCUUUCUAAAAUUUGACUGAGGCUAAAAUUUGACUUGAGGCAGAGCAAACUUACUAUUGAUGAGUGCUCUAAAAACUCAAUUUCCCUUUUCCGUAGCUAAACACAAUCUUCAAAUAAACUUCCCUCUUCAGUGGCAUUUAACUCUUCUCUCUCUUAUGCACUUUACAGUCUGUCCUUUACAGAUAAUCUAAAUUGGAAACUUCAUAUAUCAUAUCUUGCUAAAACCGCAUUUUUUAAAUUAGUCACUCAAAGUUGUAUUCACAGGUUUUCAUGAGUCUCUAGCAGCGAACUCAGAAAAGAGAUCUUAUUUGUCUGUUUGUGGAGUACAUUUCACACACAUGGGUAGUCUCAUUCAUAUUGUUCUGUUGAAUAGGAUGGGAUCAAAAGCAUUUCAUCUUACCAAUUUUAAUUGAAAGUUUUUAUCCUCUCAUCAUUGGAGUAUUACAUUUCUUGCUAUUUUUGACUAUUUCAUGCUAACUGCUCUUCUGGGCCCGUACUUAUAAACACUAAGAUGACGUCCUAAAGGUAAGAAGUCGUCUUAAAUCACAAAAAUGGCGGAACUCGAGUCUUAAAUCCUUAAGACGGCAUCUUAAGCCCUAAAAACGCGUCUUACUGCUAAAACACCUCCAGAGGUGUUUUAGCAGUAAGAGGCGCUCCUAAGAUUUCAUCCUAAAAGUAAACAUGGCCGCUCGAGAGGAACCGCACCGCCACCACCUGCAACAGAGACGGACGUUUCGUGAGAUGAAGGACGUCCUGAAUGAGCUAGAUGACCGUGAGCUGGUGAAGAGGUAUUGGCAGGAUCCUGCUGGUAUAAUUUUCGUGACAAAUUUGGUGCGGGAAAGGCUGAUGAGACCAACUUCAAGGAACAAGGCCUCUCUCCCCGAGAUGCAAGUUAUCUUCACUGCGGUACCUCGCUAUAGGAAAGAUACAGCAGUGCAGCAAUGAUGACUUGGGGCCCUCACAACAGACCAUCAGCAGGAUCAUCAGUGAUACAGUGAUACAAUGCCAUUCUCUCUCAAUUCAUAAGAUUUGUAGUCACCCAAUUGGAAACUCAGAGGAGGAAGGGGGAGUGAUGCUUGAUACCACAUUAUUGAUGUAGUUGCAAAGUGGCCGGGAUCGGUUCAGGAUGCAAGAAUACUUGCUCAAAGUGGAUUCUGCACGAUAUUUGACAAUGGCAUCAUCCCAGCUGGGUGUCACUUGCUGGGAGAUAGUGGCUAUCCCAACAAGAAGUGGCUACCGACUCCAUACCUCAGACCACAGCCUGGAGCACAGUCUUCUUAUAACAGGGCCCACAAGAAAAUCUGCAGCGUUGUUGAGAGAGGCAUCGGGCAGCUGAAGCGACAUUUUCACGUGCUACACAGUGAGAUCCGAGUUGGUCCUCCAUCCAAGGUCUGCCAAAUUGUAGAGGUUUGUGCACUGCUGCACAACAUCUGCAAAGCAAGAAACAUCAUUCUUCCUGAGGAAGAAGACCAUCUUGCUGCAGCCGAGGAUGGAGGCAACGAGGAGCGACCCCCAACACAGAAAGUUCAAAGUCGCCAUGAAGGAAUCCUUUACAGGGAUGAAUUUGUUGUGCUUCACUUAAACAUUGAUGAGUGAUGAGACACCAGUGUCAUGACUGCUGAGAUUGGUGUUAUUCUCAUGUGGAUGAUCUCCUCCUCAUCCACAAACACCAGUGAUGUACCAGGGAAGUCUGGCCCCUGUUGGUGCUGCAAGUGGUGUGGCAGGUGCCUCCUCCUCCACACUCACUGCCUCGGUCACCACUUCUCUCUGCUGGGCUGCCUCUGCCACUUCCCCAGCAUCAUCUGCUGCCUGCACACUGCUGGCAUCAUUAGUUCUAACUUCAGAAACUAAACUGAUAAUGUUUUUGGUUUUAUUGCUAAGGAUAAAAGUAACAGAAACCAGUAAAUCUAGCUAAGGGUA
Molecule: long non-coding RNA, 2385 nt
Organism: Portunus trituberculatus (swimming crab)
Lineage: Eukaryota; Metazoa; Arthropoda; Malacostraca; Decapoda; Portunidae
Exons: 4
Source: RefSeq, a predicted model, not a curated record